CUUGUAUGGCUAGGUGUAUCUGAUGGGCUGGGGAUCAGCAGCAGGAGGACUAGGAAAUGGGCCUGCAGUACGAAUCUUCUGAAUCCAGCAAAAAUUUGGACAAAGCCUUUGUUGGUCAUUCCAGAACUGCUCUAAUUUAACAAGUGUGUGCUCCAGAAGAGCUGGAAGCUGUUGGGUGAGUGUUGAUCAUUGUAUCUUCAGCUAAUGAAUGGUCAUCAUUGUUCUUGUCACUCCAAGGGAGGGGGAGUUGCUCUUUUUCCUUAAACACAGGUAAACAGCACUUCAUGGACCCAGAGAAGGGAGAAAAGGUGCUUCCUAUACCACUACAUGCAAGUAAGAUCUUCUCCACAGUCUACAGAAUCUCUGAAUGCUGCCUAUAACUUUGCACUAUCACAUUUAGCUUUCCAGUCUCUAAAUACAUCAUAAGACAACACAGGAAACUUACAGCUGUGGCAGCGACUCUAAAAAAUAAGGGUCAGUUGAACUUCCUGAAUAGUCCUUUCUACACCAAACAUAGAGAAGAUGUGUAGAGUUCUGUUGUCAAUCUAUUUUUGCUCCAUUCCACAAGUUUCUGGUGUCUGUUACUGUAGUGCAGUAGCAAAAUAAUGCAGCAAAUCCCAAUUACCACAAGCGCAGAUUGUUUAGAAUUAUUUCAGAUUUUGAUCCUCGCUGUAACUUAUUUAUACGUUAAUAAUAAACUUGGUUGAGGAUGCCCAAAUGUUACAUCUCCCUACGGACCAGGAGAAAAAGCUUACUUAAGUAGCCUUUCUUUUUUUCGUAUUGAUCCCUUAGAGCAUUGCAAGCAUUUCCAGCUCAAUCUCUGCGUUCUCUGCCAAGUGUGACUAGCACUCAGAGGGACAAAACUGCAAUGCAGGCUUGUUAGGAUCUGUUUGUUGUUGGUUUUGGUCAUAUCUCUGGUGUUUUAUUUGCUAAUGGAAGUGCACAGCAGGCUUCCUGCACAGUGAUGUUAGAAGAGAGCUCUGCAGUGUGGGCCUUGUUUCUAUAGCCCAGAACCUCUUGUUUCGUCAGAGGUACUAUGGAGUAGAUGGGGACAAUACCUAGGCUUGCAGGGUGUAGUGAGGUCUGCACUUAAACUUACUGUGCUGAGUGAGACAGGUUUCUGUAUGACCCAGUUCUAGACAGGAGCACUCGGGCAUUGAGCUCCCAGGCUCCUGCAGGCCUGUUUUUUUGGUUUAUUGUGUCAUUGGGAAGCAGGAAUAGCACUUCUUUCUGCUCCAGAUGUAAGGAUAAAUCUGUGUCUGAGGACAGCUAAUGAGGCAUAUCAGUCUCUUGUAGUAGUUACUUGUUACGUAGUAGUUACUUGUUACACAGCAGCUCUACAUGUUUCUGUUAAGACUUGUCUGCACUGCUUGUACUUUGUCUUGCAGAGCGCAGUUCCUCUGUGUGCUUGCUUCUUCCUCACAGCUGCAAGGAGGCAGCAGUGUGCUCCGGCA
Long non-coding RNA from Oxyura jamaicensis (ruddy duck), 1454 nucleotides. RefSeq lists it as uncharacterized. The transcript has 3 exons. Lineage: Eukaryota; Metazoa; Chordata; Aves; Anseriformes; Anatidae. The record is from RefSeq and is a predicted model, not a curated record.